Non-coding RNA from Cinara cedri, 1167 nucleotides. The record is from the annotation of a GenBank genome assembly. Lineage: Eukaryota; Metazoa; Arthropoda; Insecta; Hemiptera; Aphididae.
GUUUUGAUUGGAGCAAGGUUUAUAUGAAAAAUGGUGUCCACAGAACCUAUAAAAAAAAAAAAAUAAUAAAUAUUAUUGUAAAAUUAUACAUUUCUCGCUUUUACUUAGAAUUUAAAUAGAAAUAAAGCACUCAUAUUAAUAAUACAUUAAUUUUACAAUAUAAUACAGAGUUUUUCAAAAUCUAAAAAAAAUUUGUAGGACUAGGUCAGGGGUCGGCAACCUUUUUUGAUGGAAGAGCCAAAAGUUACAAUGUACAAAAUUUUCCAGAUUUUAAAGAGCCACUAAAAAUUUUCUUAAGUAUUUAAAUAUAAUUAUAUUUUUAAAUUUUAAUAGACAUAAUAAUAAUGAAAUUAAUUAUAAUAAUAUAAUAAAUUUAUGAUAAAAAAAAAAAAAAAAAACAGUUUUUAAUAAUAGGGGAAUACAUCAAUGGGAGCAUUGGCUUUGCAUGUCUUGGCGUGACGGCGUAUGACCAAUUAGUUUUAGAUAGCGUCGCGAUUAUAUUAGACUCUAUAAUAAACAUUUUACAACUAUAGACUGUACUCCAUGCGAGCACUGUCAAAUUAUUUUUGUGAUGUAUUAUUUCAUAUUUCCAAAAGCAACAAAAAUAAUAUACUUUUUUUUUUAUAUUAUAAAAUAUUGUUUUUGAACUAAAAUAUUAAUUUUUGUGUGUGCAGCUGGAGAGCCGCAACUUUAGACCGAAAGAGCCGCAUGUGGCUCGCGAGCCGCAGGUUGCCGACCCCUGGACUAGGUGGUCAACAAAAUUUGGACCAAUCGAUUUUUGAAUCUCUGAGGUCCAAUCUAGUGCCAAUCUGCCACAGGGAUAACUUAAAUUAGUUAAAAACAAUUACCAAUAAUUAUUGGUUAACUUGCUCAGCUUUGGAGAUUUCAUAGCUACUAAUAUUGCGAUAUUAAUGAAAUAUUUAAAACUUUUCUGUGGCAAUAAAAAAUAAAAUAAAAUAAAUAAUGUUCUUAUAAAUUUAUCAUUAUGUCAGUGUCACACAUAAAGAUUAGAUUAUGUAAAUGGUUCUUUGAUAGUUGUUUAGUAAUAGCCGUUUUAAUUUCUAGAUAAUUUUACAAAAUGGCUACUUUAAAAGUUUUAAAAGUUAUUUUUUUCAGUAAUUAAGGGAUGAAAAAUAAAAAUUGAAUUGUUUCCUGCACAUGUCCCCC